UCCUCGGUAGCUCAAUUGGCAGAGCAAUCGGCUGUUAACCGAUUUGUUGUAGGUUCGAGUCCUACCCGGGGAGCCA
This 76-nucleotide transfer RNA is filed under the name Coriobacteriales bacterium. RNAcentral describes it as "tRNA-Asn". It matches the Rfam family "tRNA". From Rfam's summary of the family: Transfer RNA (tRNA) molecules are approximately 80 nucleotides in length. Their secondary structure includes four short double-helical elements and three loops (D, anti-codon, and T loops). Lineage: Bacteria; Bacillati; Actinomycetota; Coriobacteriia; Coriobacteriales. The record is from RNAcentral.